CUAUUACCAGUUUACUACACAGAAACGCAGACACGGGGUUUAGGGCUUUGGCGGUUCAGCUUCUGCCUUUUUCCUCUCGCCAGUCUUCCAUAUUUCCUCUCCCUCAUCUCCCUCGGUUCACCGGCGCCGCUGCUUGUCUCCUCAGUACAGUCCACUGCGUGUCUCCCCUCCGGUGCAUGUUCUCCCCUGCCGCUGCGUGUUCUCUAUCUCAGGUACAACAAAUCUGUGAGAUGCUUCAUCUUCCUUCUUCGCGGCAACAUUGCAGACGAUUCUCAUGAAAAAUAAAACUGUGAUCUGUGUGCACCUUGGUUGAAAACCCUAGGACGGUUGCUGAUAGUUGCAAGUUAAAUCUUUGGAAAGGAAAAGAGAUGGCCCAAACCACAGAGGGAGCAACGGAAUCUGUAGAGGCAGUUCAUUUCAGCUUCUAUACAGAUGAGGAGAUUACCAAACUCAGUGCUAAAAAGAUUACGAAUCCUAUUCUACUUGACAGUGUGGAGAGACCUGUGCCUGAUGGACUGUAUGAUCCGGCAUUGGGCCCAAUGGAUGAAAGGA
This is a long non-coding RNA of Macadamia integrifolia, 552 nucleotides long. RefSeq lists it as uncharacterized. The transcript has 3 exons. The record is from RefSeq and is a predicted model, not a curated record. Lineage: Eukaryota; Viridiplantae; Streptophyta; Magnoliopsida; Proteales; Proteaceae.